RNAcentral lists this ribosomal RNA (429 nucleotides) under Chloroflexota bacterium. RNAcentral describes it as "Chloroflexi bacterium partial 16S ribosomal RNA". It matches the Rfam family "Bacterial small subunit ribosomal RNA", at positions 355 to 776 of the family's 1533-position model. The record is from RNAcentral. Lineage: Bacteria; Bacillati; Chloroflexota.
UGGGGAAUAUUGCACAAUGGGCGCAAGCCUGAUGCAGCCAUGCCGCGUGUAUGAAGAAGGCCUCCGGGUUGUAAAGUACUUUUAGUCGGGAGGAAGGUGGUAAGGUUAAUAACCUUAUCAAUUGACGUUACCGACAGAAGAAGCACCGGCUAACUCCGUGCCAGCAGACGCGGUAAUACGGAGGGUGCAAGCGUUAAUCGGAAUUACUGGGCGUAAAGCGCACGCAGGCGGUCUGUCAAGUCGGAUGUGAAAUCCCCGGGCUCAACCUGGAAACUGCAUUCGAAACUGGCAGGCUAGAGUCUUGUAGAGGGGGGUAGAAUUCCAGGUGUAGCGGUGAAAUGCGUAGAGAUCUGGAGGAAUACCGGUGGCGAAGGCGGCCCCCUGGACAAAGACUGACGCUCAGGUGCGAAAGCGUGGGGAGCAAACAGG